CCUACGGGAGGCUGCAGUGGGGAAUAUUGCACAAUGGGGGAAACCCUGAUGCAGCGACGCCGCGUGAGUGAAGAAGUAUUUCGGUGUGUAAAGCUCUAUCAGCAGGGAAGAAAAUGACGGUACCUGAUUAAGAAGCUCCGGCUAACUACGUUCCAGCAGCCGCGGUAAUACGUAGGGGGCAAGCGUUAUCCGGAUUUACUGGGUGUAAAGGGGGCGUAGACGGCAGCACAAGUCUGGAGUGAAAUGCCGGGGCUUAACCCCGGAACUGCCUUGGAAACUGUGCAGCUAGAGUGCAGGAGGGGUAAGUGGAAUUCCUAGGGUAGCGGUGAAAUGCGUAGAUAUUAGGAGGAACACCAGUGGCGAAGGCGUUUUACUGGACUGUAACUGACGUUGAGGCUCGAAAGCGUGGGGAGCAAACAGGAUUAGAUACCCUGGUAGUC
Molecule: ribosomal RNA, 440 nt
Filed under: uncultured bacterium
Lineage: Bacteria
Description: partial 16S ribosomal RNA
Rfam family: Bacterial small subunit ribosomal RNA
Source: RNAcentral